ACAGAAGAGAAUGCUGGGAAAAAGAAGCUGAGUCGAGGAGUCGCCAUGAUUCUCCCGCUCCAGACAGACACAGGUUAAGAUCCUCCCUGGAUCUCUCAUUGACCUGGGUCUCUGGAUUAGGUAGAAGGGCUGCUCACCAGCUCCAGGGUUGGAGAUUGCACAGGUGACGGUUCUGAACAAGACAGAAGAUGAAACCCACUAGGACAUGAAGCUGACUACUUAUACCGUCAUGGCAACAGAGUCCUCCAGUGUAAGGGAAAUCUCUCAUCGUCUUAUUAUCCUAGUCAUUUGUGUGCUCUCCUGGUGGCAAUGGAAUCAGGAAGACGCAGCACCCGUGAGACCUGGCUACUGGGAAUGCUUCAAUGUAACCGGAUUUAUGUUGACGUCUUUGAUCCACUUGGACGUGAGUUUUGUGCAGGAUGAUCGCUGUGGAUCUCUUUGCAUUCUUCUACAUGCCGCCAUCCAGUUAUGCCAGCACCAUUUCAUAGGUGUGUGGAUUUAUGUCAUUUUCUUUGAUUCAACUCCAUUGAUCCACCUGUUUUUAUGCCAAUACCAUGCUGUUUUUAUUCCUAUAGCUCUAUAGUAGAGCUUGAAGUCAGGGAUGGUGAUCCAUAGCCAUUUCUUAUGAGGUUGCCUGGGUUUGGUCAACAUCCUUUCCCUGGGUCUGUUUGUGUUGGGAAGAGGGUGGUCAGGGGUCUAUUGUUGCAGCCCCCAGUGCGACAUGAAGCAGAAGAGUCACUAGUCCUGAAAUGUAUACUGGGAGACAAAACACCCGAUGCUCCCUUCUGGACCUCUCAGAUUUGCCUCUGCCCAGAAACUAACAAGGAUGCAGGCAACUUCACCUCUCAUCUCGCUGCUGGACUCUGUGGCCUUUUGGAGCCAACUUCCCCACAACUUAGCUGUAAGAGUAACAUGGGCUCUGAGAGCAUUGUUUGUCAGUUCUCAGCUCUUUAAAGAGGAUGAAGGGUGGCAUAUAUGUCCAGUUUAUCAAUCCUCAAAUUAUGAAUCACACAAGCCCUUCACCCCAGGGCACUGAGCAAGGAGAGAGGAGCGAAGCCACAAUAGCUGCCCUCCCUCCCAGCUGCUGGAUGCUAUUUCCUGCAGGAAGCCUCUCCUGAUGCUUUCUCCCAGUCUGGCUUAGGUGUCCCUGCUCUGAGUUCUCUUAGCUCCCUUAGCAUGCUCUCCUGGCACUUAAAGCAGCACACAAAGCAUGUCUUUCCUUCCCCCACUUGCUUAUUCACGUGUUCUUCUUUCUGUUAUUUUCUCAUAUGGAAAACAUGCACUAUGACAGCCUGUUGCCAGUUAACUGA
Long non-coding RNA from Alexandromys fortis (reed vole), 1310 nucleotides. RefSeq lists it as uncharacterized. The record is from RefSeq and is a predicted model, not a curated record. Lineage: Eukaryota; Metazoa; Chordata; Mammalia; Rodentia; Cricetidae. The transcript is spliced from 4 exons.